AUUGAACGCUGGCGGCAUGCUUUACACAUGCAAGUCGAACGGUAACAGGCCUUCGGGUGCUGACGAGUGGCGAACGGGUGAGUAAUGCAUCGGAACAUACCCAGUCGUGGGGGAUAACGUAGCGAAAGUUACGCUAAUACCGCAUACGUCCUGAGGGAGAAAGCGGGGGAUCGCAAGACCUCGCGCGAUUGGAGUGGCCGAUGUCAGAUUAGCUAGUUGGUGGGGUAAAGGCCCACCAAGGCGACGAUCGGUAGCGGGUCUGAGAGGAUGAUCCGCCACACUGGGACUGCGAAACGGCCCAGACUCCUGCGGGAGGCAGCAGUGGGGAAUUUUGGACAAUGGGGGCAACCUUGAUCCAGCCAUGCCGCGUGCGGGAAGAAGGCCUUCGGGUUGUAAACCGCUUUCGGACAGAAAGAAAUCGCAUGGGCUAAUACCCUGUGUGGAUGACGGUACUGUAAGAAGAAGCACCGGCUAACUACGUGCCAGCAGCCGCCGUAA
Molecule: ribosomal RNA, 498 nt
Filed under: uncultured bacterium
Lineage: Bacteria
Description: partial 16S ribosomal RNA
Rfam family: Bacterial small subunit ribosomal RNA
Source: RNAcentral